AGAACUGUGCCCGAACGUCUAGGGGCCACUUUGAUAGAGUGGACAAUAGGGGUUAAAGCCCCCUCAGUUCUU
Molecule: transfer RNA, 72 nt
Filed under: Opsarius bernatziki
Lineage: Eukaryota; Metazoa; Chordata; Actinopteri; Cypriniformes; Danionidae
Description: tRNA-Ile
Source: RNAcentral